Molecule: transfer RNA, 76 nt
Filed under: Anaerostipes hadrus
Lineage: Bacteria; Bacillati; Bacillota; Clostridia; Lachnospirales; Lachnospiraceae
Description: tRNA-Met(cat)
Rfam family: tRNA
About the family: Transfer RNA (tRNA) molecules are approximately 80 nucleotides in length. Their secondary structure includes four short double-helical elements and three loops (D, anti-codon, and T loops). Further hydrogen bonds mediate the characteristic L-shaped molecular structure. tRNAs have two regions of fundamental functional importance: the anti-codon, which is responsible for specific mRNA codon recognition, and the 3' end, to which the tRNAs corresponding amino acid is attached (by aminoacyl-tRNA synthetases). tRNAs cope with the degeneracy of the genetic code in two manners: having more than one tRNA (with a specific anti-codon) for a particular amino acid; and 'wobble' base-pairing, i.e. permitting non-standard base-pairing at the 3rd anti-codon position.
Source: RNAcentral
UGGACAUCUAGCUCAGUAGGUAAGAGCAGUCGGCUCAUAACCGAUCGGUCCGGGGUUCGAGUCCCUGGAUGUCCAG